Molecule: long non-coding RNA, 315 nt
Filed under: Elaeis guineensis (African oil palm)
Lineage: Eukaryota; Viridiplantae; Streptophyta; Magnoliopsida; Arecales; Arecaceae
Description: long non-coding RNA (EGUI_LNC008413)
Source: RNAcentral
UACCUCUUUAAGAUGAUGUUCGAUCUCUUGAACUUUUUGUUUGAGAUUAUCCUCCCGAUGAGAUUUUCUGGGACAUGGAGAGUAACCUAGGGUUUAAUUUCUGUUGGAGGAUAUCGGGGAACACCGACGUCACUCACCCUCCCUAUAUUUUGAUGGGAAGGAGAUUGUCAAGCAGCAGGAGCAGAAUGAUGCGUGCACCCAGGGCCUGGCUUCGGACUCCUACGGUGAGACCGACAACUGUGCCAAAAAGGAGCUGCCUAAUGAAUAGGCUUUUGAGGCCGUUGCCGGUCCUUUGCCUGCUAAAGCUGCUGCAUG